RNAcentral lists this ribosomal RNA (943 nucleotides) under Fusarium equiseti. RNAcentral's name for it is "eukaryotic LSU rRNA". It matches the Rfam family "Eukaryotic large subunit ribosomal RNA", at positions 107 to 1081 of the family's 3401-position model. Lineage: Eukaryota; Fungi; Ascomycota; Sordariomycetes; Hypocreales; Nectriaceae. The record is from RNAcentral.
GCUCAAAUUUGAAAUCUGGCUCUCGGGCCCGAGUUGUAAUUUGUAGAGGAUGCUUUUGAUGCGGUGCCUUCCGAGUUCCCUGGAACGGGACGCCAUAGAGGGUGAGAGCCCCGUCUGGUUGGAUGCCAAAUCUCUGUAAAGCUCCUUCGACGAGUCGAGUAGUUUGGGAAUGCUGCUCUAAAUGGGAGGUAUAUGUCUUCUAAAGCUAAAUACCGGCCAGAGACCGAUAGCGCACAAGUAGAGUGAUCGAAAGAUGAAAAGCACUUUGAAAAGAGAGUUAAAAAGUACGUGAAAUUGUUGAAAGGGAAGCGUUUAUGACCAGACUUGGGCUUGGUUAAUCAUCUGGGGUUCUCCCCAGUGCACUUUUCCAGUCCAGGCCAGCAUCAGUUUUCGCCGGGGGAUAAAGGCUUCGGGAAUGUGGCUCUCUCCGGGGAGUGUUAUAGCCCGUUGCGUAAUACCCUGGCGGGGACUGAGGUUCGCGCAUCUGCAAGGAUGCUGGCGUAAUGGUCAUCAACGACCCGUCUUGAAACACGGACCAAGGAGUCGUCUUCGUAUGCGAGUGUUCGGGUGUCAAACCCCUACGCGUAAUGAAAGUGAACGCAGGUGAGAGCUUCGGCGCAUCAUCGACCGAUCCUGAUGUUCUCGGAUGGAUUUGAGUAAGAGCAUACGGGGCCGGACCCGAAAGAAGGUGAACUAUGCCUGUGUAGGGUGAAGCCAGAGGAAACUCUGGUGGAGGCUCGCAGCGGUUCUGACGUGCAAAUCGAUCGUCAAACAUGGGCAUGGGGGCGAAAGACUAAUCGAACCUUCUAGUAGCUGGUUUCCGCCGAAGUUUCCCUCAGGAUAGCAGUGUUGAACUCAGUUUUAUGAGGUAAAGCGAAUGAUUAGGGACUCGGGGGCGCUAUUUAGCCUUCAUCCAUUCUCAAACUUUAAAUAUGUAAGAAGC